AUGCACUCUGUUCCCGAUUUUGAAACAGUCUGCACUUGGGGGGGAAAUUACACAAUUCAGUCAAUACAGGUUUGUUAUGCAAACUCACAGCGAGUACCCGAGUCGCUAAGCGAAAUUCCAUCGAACAAAGUCAGAGACUUCACCAUGCUCUUGAAAACGAAGUUUGCUAAGCGAACUCCUAGCGAGACCCCGAUUCCCUAA
This is a non-coding RNA of Vicia faba (fava bean), 201 nucleotides long. The record is from the annotation of a GenBank genome assembly. Lineage: Eukaryota; Viridiplantae; Streptophyta; Magnoliopsida; Fabales; Fabaceae.